This 579-nucleotide ribosomal RNA is filed under the name uncultured bacterium. RNAcentral's name for it is "bacterial SSU rRNA". It matches the Rfam family "Bacterial small subunit ribosomal RNA", at positions 338 to 916 of the family's 1533-position model. The record is from RNAcentral.
CCUACGGGAGGCAGCAGUAAGGAAUAUUGGUCAAUGGAGGCAACUCUGAACCAGCCAUGCCGCGUGCAGGAUGACGGCCCUAUGGGUUGUAAACUGCUUUUAUACAAGAGAAAACCCUGGUACGUGUACCAGGUUGAUAGUAUUGUAAGAAUAAGCAUCGGCUAACUUCGUGCCAGCAGCCGCGGUAAGACGAAGGAUGCAAGCGUUAUCCGGAUUCAUUGGGUUUAAAGGGUGCGUAGGCGGACUGAUAAGUCAGUGGUGAAAUCUCUUUGCUUAACAAAGAAACUGCCAUUGAUACUGUCGGUCUAGAGUAUAGAUGACGUUGGCGGAAUAUGACAUGUAGUGGUGAAAUACUUAGAUAUGUCAUAGAACACCGAUUGCGAAGGCAGCUAACGAAACUAUAACUGACGCUGAGGCACGAAAGUGCGGGGAUCAAACAGGAUUAGAUACCCUGGUAGUCCGCACCGUAAACGAUGAUUACUCGUUGUUGGCGAUAUGACAGUCAGCGACCAAGCGAAAGCGANAAGUAAUCCACCUGGGGAGUACGCCGGCAACGGUGAAACUUAAAUGAAUUGACGG